RNAcentral lists this ribosomal RNA (465 nucleotides) under Vreelandella stevensii. Its description in RNAcentral is "partial 16S ribosomal RNA". It matches the Rfam family "Bacterial small subunit ribosomal RNA", at positions 338 to 795 of the family's 1533-position model. Lineage: Bacteria; Pseudomonadati; Pseudomonadota; Gammaproteobacteria; Oceanospirillales; Halomonadaceae. The record is from RNAcentral.
CCUACGGGGGGCAGCAGUGGGGAAUAUUGGACAAUUGGGGGAACCCUGAUCCAGCCAUGCCGCGUGUGUGAAGAAGGCCCUCGGGUUGUAAAGCACUUUCAGUGAGGAAGAACGCCUGGUGGUUAAUACCCAUCAGGAAAGACAUCACUCACAGAAGAAGCACCGGCUAACUCCGUGCCAGCAGCCGCGGUAAUACGGAGGGUGCGAGCGUUAAUCGGAAUUACUGGGCGUAAAGCGCGCGUAGGUGGCUUGAUAAGCCGGUUGUGAAAGCCCCGGGCUCAACCUGGGAACGGCAUCCGGAACUGUCAAGCUAGAGUGCAGGAGAGGAAGGUAGAAUUCGCGGUGUAGCGGUGAAAUGCGUAGAGAUCGGGAGGAAUACCAGUGGCGAAGGCGGCCUUCUGGACUGACACUGACACUGAGGUGCGAAAGCGUGGGUAGCAAACAGGAUUAGAUACCCCAGUAGUC